Molecule: ribosomal RNA, 392 nt
Filed under: uncultured bacterium
Lineage: Bacteria
Description: partial 16S ribosomal RNA
Rfam family: Bacterial small subunit ribosomal RNA
Source: RNAcentral
AUACGGAGGAUCCGAGCGUUAUCCGGAUUUAUUGGGUUUAAAGGGCGCGCAGGCGGCCAUUUAAGUCAGCGGUUAAAUCGUGGGGCUCAACCCCAUUCUGCCGUUGAUACUGGGUGGCUUGAUUGCGGUCGAGGUUGGCGGAAUUCGUUGUGUAGCGGUGAAAUGCAUAGAUAUGACGAAGAACACCGAUUGCGUAGGCAGCUGACCAGACCGCAAGUGACGCUCAUGCACGAAAGUGCGGGGAUCGAACAGGAUUAGAUACCCUGGUAGUCCGCACAGUAAACGAUGAAUACUUGUUUUCGGCGAUAUAAUGUCGGAGGCAAAGCGAAAGCGAUAAGUAUUCCACCUGGGGAGUACGCCGGCAACGGUGAAACUCAAAGGAAUUGACGGGG